AACAAACACAUUAAAGAAUUCAAGAGAGGUACUUGCCCUGGUGAUCCAAUGGCUAAGACUCUGAGCUCCCAAUGCAGGGGCCUGGGGUUCGAUCCCUGGUCAGCUACUACAGAUCUCGAGUGCCCCAACUAAGACCCCAACUCAGCAAAAUUAAAAAAAAAAAAAAGAAUUAAAGACAAGCAAAACACAAACUGCAUACAUAAAGGCUAGCAUCCAAAGAAACAAAUGAACUGGUUCACAAAUUAGGCAGAAGUCCAACUCUUUCCUCUCUCCAACAGGGUAUCCCACUCAAAGACAAAACAAAUUGGCUUAUUCCAGAGAAAAAGCCCCAAAAGGAGAAGAAAUAGAGUUCCCAACUGUACGCGCCCUCAGAGAGACUUACGGUUACUGUUUGGAGCCUGUCUGCUCCCAAAUAUUGAUUCCUUGUUCCAACUGCCCAGCGCUGGAACAACCAGUGCGGCUUUGGGGAGUUUUGAAGGAAGAGCCUCAGGACAAGUGGUCUUGCCAGCUGCUAGGGCCUUACCCCCAAAUCCCCCAACCGUCAGCUCGCCAUGAGUGGCAAGGUAAGGCAGGCCAAUAAAUGGAGAGAGGAGUUGCUAGGACAAGGAACAGCGACUUCAUUCAGAAAGCCACCAAACCAAGAUGAUGGUGGACUCGAAAGAUCCACCUUACCUGCGCUAGAAUUCAGGCUUCUUUUAUACUAAAAGGGGAGGGCGUGUAGCUAAACAUUUCCGGUUCCGGUUAGCCUUCAGAAGGGGCUGUGCUAAUUUCUUCUGCCUACACUCCUGCACAUGUGGGCCUGGUCAGGAGACUUCUUGUGAGCUAACCAAAGUAUUUCAGCUUAAUGCUCAUUACCUGGGAGGCAGGGUUCCCAGAGAUGGGCCAUUGUGUAUAAUUUAAGCUUAUAGGCAACAUCCUUGAGGUGAUUAACUUGCAAUAGGGUACACAGGUUCUGCCCUAUUACAUCAGAUCUUAAUUUAAUUUGCUAUUUGACCUGUUCAGAAUGACUGAAUUAUCAGAAACUUCAUGGAUGAACAUUAGGACGCAGCAGCUGUUGGAAACGCAGCGUCAGCAGUCCCUGUCAGGUUAUGCCCAGUCCCUAACACCGCCCUCUCCCAGACCCCAUCACAGCCGGCCACUUAGCUCUGCAGCCCGACCUGCUCACGUGGUGCUCAGCGCCCGUGCGCGGCCUGGUCUCUCAACACAGUGCCACCCGCUUCCCCUACAGCCUCCUAGACCCACCCUUCCUCGAGGCCAAGUGUCAAUAACCAGGAUCCUCGCCGGGAAACCUUGGGUUCCAGCUAUUCCCCCAGAGGCCUCCAUUAGGGGGCUUUGCACCCAGCGGCGUCCGCAGCGCCCUCCGGGAUAGCGAGCACCCCAGGGCUCCCUCACCCUGGGCUGUACACAUCCCCGCCACCAACAGGGCUCAGGGGCCAGGGCAGGAUCCCUGGUGGAGGGCGAGAUGGCGGGAUGAGUGCACCUCCUGGGUAACCGGACUCGUAGCGCUAGAGGUGAGAGUGGGUGUCUAUCCGAGGGGCUCAUCCGGUACCCAGCCCACGGUGCGCUAGUCUGCCUCACGUGGACACCCGGCCCCCAACCUUUUAUCUUCAUGCCCUGGCCUGCCUUCCAGUCCUCCACCCGGGCCCAGGACGCUGGAGCCCGCAGCGCAGCACUCGGUACUUCGGGGAGGCGAAGCCAGCACGCCGGUGGCACGGACGUCCGGGGCUUGCGGGUCUACUCAAGCAAAACCCAUCUUUCUAGCAGGAGUGAAAAAAGCCGGAGCGAGCAAAAGUAUUGUGCCCCGUGUGAGGAUCGAACUCACGACCUUCAGAUUAUGAGACUGACGCGCUACCUACUGCGCUAACGAGGCACCUACGAGUAGCUUCCGGGAGCAGGAUAAUGAGGCUGUUGCGGCGGCCCAGUGCGCAUGCUCAGAAAAUCACAGCUUCACUUUUCUCCGCAGAGUUUCUGACCCGGGACACCGAAGUUCCCGCCGGGGCGCUUGCCUUACUUGAACCAUCCACGCCUCUCUGGUCUUCUUCCGCCUGAUGGUCUGGUUAUCAAUCAACAAACACUGCGGCUUAUUGGACCCCCGGCGCUGAGUAGGGGAGACCCUGGGCCGCGAGAUUCUUCCUACUCUUGAGUGAUUACUGAAGAUUCCAAGUUUGAAGUGUUUCAAAAGAUAAGACCAUCUGAUGGACCGACGAGCCUAAGGACAGAGGUGGAGAAAGCGAGAGGCUGCAAGAGUCGGGAAGUCGUGCAUGGAGUAGGUUGUCUGGAUCCCAGACCUCGUGGGCUGGAUGUAACUUGGAUACCUUGUAACUUGGAUACCCAGUCCUGGGGAUGCUUUCCCCACAUCACGGUCCCCAGUGGGAAACCCACAAUCUCCCAAUCCCCGCCCCCCGCCAGAACCCGACAGAGCGGAGGGUUUGGAGGAGAACAGAGGGCCAGGCAGAAGGCCAAACGAGAGACCCCGCCCCCAACACACACACACACACACACACACACACACACA
Long non-coding RNA from Bos taurus (domestic cattle), 2515 nucleotides. NCBI's taxonomy places the organism in Eukaryota, Metazoa, Chordata, Mammalia, Artiodactyla, Bovidae. The record is from Ensembl.